This 498-nucleotide ribosomal RNA is filed under the name uncultured bacterium. Its description in RNAcentral is "partial 16S ribosomal RNA". It matches the Rfam family "Bacterial small subunit ribosomal RNA", at positions 30 to 523 of the family's 1533-position model. The record is from RNAcentral.
AUUGAACGCUGGCGGCAUGCCUUACGCAUGCAAGUCGAACGGUAACAGGUCUUCGGAUGCUGACGAGUGGCGAACGGGUGAGUAAUACAUCGGAACGUGCCUAGUAGAGGGGGGUAACUACUCGAAAGAGUGGCUAAUACCGCAUGAGAUCUACGGAUGAAAGCAGGGGAUCGCAAGACCUUGUGCUACUAGAGCGGCCGAUGGCAGAUUAGGUAGUUGGUGGGAUAAAAGCUUACCAAGCCGACGAUCUGUAGCUGGUCUGAGAGGACGAUCAGCCACACUGGGACUGAGACACGGCCCAGACUCCUACGGGAGGCAGCAGUGGGGAAUUUUGGGCAAUGGGCGAAAGCCUGAUCCAGCAAUGCCGCGUGCAGGAUGAAGGCCUUCGGGUUGUAAACUGCUUUUGUACGGAACGAAAAGCCCCGGGUUAAUACCCUGGGGUCAUGACGGUACCGUAAGAAUAAGCACCGGCUAACUACGUGCCAGCAGCCGCCGCGG